GAAUGCUGACAUAAGUAACGAUAAAGCGGGUGAAAAGCCCGCUCGCCGGAAGACCAAGGGUUCCUGUCCAACGUUAAUCGGGGCAGGGUGAGUCGACCCCUAAGGCGAGGCCGAAAGGCGUAGUCGAUGGGAAACGGGUUAAUAUUCCCGUACUUGGUGUUACUGCGAAGGGGGGACGGAGAAGGCUAUGUUGGCCGGGCGACGGUUGUCCCGGUUUAAGCGUGUAGGUGUGUGUUCCAGGUAAAUCCGGUUCACUUUAACACUGAGGCGUGACGACGAGGCACUACGGUGCUGAAGCAACAAAUGCCCUGCUUCCAGGAAAAGCCUCUAAGCAUCAGGUAACACGAAAUCGUACCCCAAACCGACACAGGUGGUCAGGUAGAGAAUACCAAGGCGCUUGAGAGAACUCGGGUGAAGGAACUAGGCAAAAUGGUGCCGUAACUUCGGGAGAAGGCACGCUGACACGUAGGUGAAGUGAUUUACUCAUGGAGCUGAAGUCAGUCGAAGAUACCAGCUGGCUGCAACUGUUUAUUAAAAACACAGCACUGUGCAAACACGAAAGUGGACGUAUACGGUGUGACGCCUGCCCGGUGCCGGAAGGUUAAUUGAUGGGGUCAGCGCAAGCGAAGCUCCUGAUCGAAGCCCCGGUAAACGGCGGCCGUAACUAUAACGGUCCUAAGGUAGCGAAAUUCCUUGUCGGGUAAGUUCCGACCUGCACGAAUGGCGUAAUGAUGGCCAGGCUGUCUCCACCCGAGACUCAGUGAAAUUGAACUCGCUGUGAAGAUGCAGUGUACCCGCGGCAAGACGGAAAGACCCCGUGAACCUUUACUAUAGCUUGACACUGAACAUUGAGCCUUGAUGUGUAGGAUAGGUGGGAGGCUUUGAAGUGUGGACGCCAGUCUGCAUGGAGCCGACCUUGAAAUACCACCCUUUAAUGUUUGAUGUUCUAACGUGGACCCGUAAUCCGGGUUGCGGACAGUGUCUGGUGGGUAGUUUGACUGGGGCGGUCUCCUCCUAAAGAGUAACGGAGGAGCACGAAGGUUGGCUAAUCCUGGUCGGACAUCAGGAGGUUAGUGCAAUGGCAUAAGCCAGCUUGACUGCGAGCGUGACGGCGCGAGCAGGUGCGAAAGCAGGUCAUAGUGAUCCGGUGGUUCUGAAUGGAAGGGCCAUCGCUCAACGGAUAAAAGGUACUCCGGGGAUAACAGGCUGAUACCGCCCAAGAGUUCAUAUCGACGGCGGUGUUUGGCACCUCGAUGUCGGCUCAUCACAUCCUGGGGCUGAAGUAGGUCCCAAGGGUAUGGCUGUUCGCCAUUUAAAGUGGUACGCGAGCUGGGUUUAGAACGUCGUGAGACAGUUCGGUCCCUAUCUGCCGUGGGCGCUGGAGAACUGAGGGGGGCUGCUCCUAGUACGAGAGGACCGGAGUGGACGCAUCACUGGUGUUCGGGUUGUCAUGCCAAUGGCACUGCCCGGUAGCUAAAUGCGGAAGAGAUAAGUGCUGAAAGCAUCUAAGCACGAAACUUGCCCCGAGAUGAGUUCUCCCUGAGACUUUAGGUCUCCUGAAGGAACGUUGAAGACGACGACGUUGAUAGGCCGGGUGUGUAAGCGCAGCGAUGCGUUGAGCUAACCGGUACUAAUGAACCGUGAGGCUUAACCUUACAACGCCGAAG
This 1667-nucleotide ribosomal RNA is filed under the name Salmonella enterica. RNAcentral describes it as "partial 23S ribosomal RNA". It matches the Rfam family "Bacterial large subunit ribosomal RNA", at positions 1292 to 2925 of the family's 2925-position model. RNAcentral also lists the same sequence under 2 other names. The record is from RNAcentral. Lineage: Bacteria; Pseudomonadati; Pseudomonadota; Gammaproteobacteria; Enterobacterales; Enterobacteriaceae.